This is a long non-coding RNA of Amblyraja radiata (thorny skate), 348 nucleotides long. RefSeq lists it as uncharacterized. The transcript is spliced from 3 exons. The record is from RefSeq and is a predicted model, not a curated record. NCBI's taxonomy places the organism in Eukaryota, Metazoa, Chordata, Chondrichthyes, Rajiformes, Rajidae.
AUUGUCUCUGACUUAUCGUGAGGUGUGUGGUAUGUUCUGAUAAUCCUAAUAUUAUUAAUUUUGGCUCUGGAUCCAGUUGGAUAUUGAUAACUUCAGAAAUAAUUUUUAAAAUGUCCACCCAAAAAUUUUGAAUUUUAAUACAAGUUACAAAGGUAUGCGUUAAGUUGGCUGCUUCAAAUUGACAUCUAUCACAGAGAGGGGAAAUAUUUGAAAAAAUCCUAUUUAAUUUUACCUUCGAAUAAUGUAGUCUAUAUUAUAUUUUGAAUUGUAUCAAGGAGUGUCUAGCAUUUGAUGAACAGUGAUUUAUAUAUUGUAAGCUUUCAUCCCAUUUCUCUACUGAUUACUGGG